UAAGAUAAGGAUGCUGCUUGACA
This 23-nucleotide non-coding RNA is filed under the name Arabidopsis thaliana (thale cress). The record is from RNAcentral. Lineage: Eukaryota; Viridiplantae; Streptophyta; Magnoliopsida; Brassicales; Brassicaceae.